This 73-nucleotide transfer RNA is filed under the name Dictyocaulus viviparus (bovine lungworm). It matches the Rfam family "tRNA". Rfam says of the family: Transfer RNA (tRNA) molecules are approximately 80 nucleotides in length. Their secondary structure includes four short double-helical elements and three loops (D, anti-codon, and T loops). Further hydrogen bonds mediate the characteristic L-shaped molecular structure. tRNAs have two regions of fundamental functional importance: the anti-codon, which is responsible for specific mRNA codon recognition, and the 3' end, to which the tRNAs corresponding amino acid is attached (by aminoacyl-tRNA synthetases). tRNAs cope with the degeneracy of the genetic code in two manners: having more than one tRNA (with a specific anti-codon) for a particular amino acid; and 'wobble' base-pairing, i.e. permitting non-standard base-pairing at the 3rd anti-codon position. The record is from Rfam by way of RNAcentral. Lineage: Eukaryota; Metazoa; Nematoda; Chromadorea; Rhabditida; Metastrongylidae.
ACCUCAAUAGUGAAAUCAGUUAACAUAACAGAUCGGACAUCUGUAGAUGAGGGUUCGAGUUCCGCUUGAGGCC